GCACCUGAGCCCAGUCAACCUAAUUUUUGCAUUCCAGCCCCUAUCCUUAUUGGUAAUCACGGCACAAUUAUUCUUUAUCAUGUUAAUCUUGCACUCAAGUACCCUAAUACCUUGAUAAUUGUUAUUCUAACCCUGCUCCUUGUACUUUAACAAAAGAUCUUGUUUUUUUCCUUAUUUAACUACUGUUCGGAUCCUUGCUAUAAUUCUGUUUAAGC
RNAcentral lists this long non-coding RNA (215 nucleotides) under Setaria italica (foxtail millet). Its description in RNAcentral is "long non-coding RNA (SITA_LNC005740)". Lineage: Eukaryota; Viridiplantae; Streptophyta; Magnoliopsida; Poales; Poaceae. The record is from RNAcentral.